CCUACGGGAGGCAGCAGUGGGGAAUAUUGCACAAUGGGGGCAACCCUGAUGCAGCAACGCCGCGUGUAGGAAGACGGUCUUCGGAUUGUAAACUUCUGUCCUUAGUGAAGAAUAAUGACGGUAGCUAAGCAGCAAGCCACGGCUAACUACGUGCCAGCAGCCGCGGUAAUACGUAGGUGGCAAGCGUUGUUCGGAAUUACUGGGGGUAAAGGGAGCGCAGGCGGGAAGCCAAGUCAGCUGUGAAAACUACGGGCUUAACUUGUGGACUGCAGUUGGGACUGGUUAUCUUGAGUGAAGUAGAGGUUGGCAGAAUUCCGUGUGUAGCGGUGAAAUGCGUAGAGAUGCGGAGGAACACCGGUGGCGAAGGCGGCCAACUGGGCUUUGACUGACGCUGAGGCGCGAAAGUGUGGGGAGCAAACAGGAUUAGAUACCCGGGUAGUC
Molecule: ribosomal RNA, 441 nt
Filed under: uncultured bacterium
Lineage: Bacteria
Description: partial 16S ribosomal RNA
Rfam family: Bacterial small subunit ribosomal RNA
Source: RNAcentral